CUGACACAGACUCUACUUAGUGGCUAGGGGGGGGGGAGAGGACCAAGGCGAGGAGCUUCUCCAAUGUGGAGGACGCCGACAGAGCAGCCUGACAAGGAGUGUGACGGUGGAAGACGUCAAAAAAGCCCCCCUGUCGCCACGGCAUAGGAGUUUCUACGGACGGAGACAAAAAGGCAAGGACUGAGGAGAGAGGAACAGAGAUCUCCACAUCCAAGCAUCUCUUAGUCCCCUAACCAGUGGCUGACACAGACGUGAGGGUUUGUGUUGUCAAGGAAUUCAAAGGAAGUGAGGAGCGCGGGUCCAGAGGAGGGACUAUUUUUUUUCUUUCUUCCAGAUCCUAUUCUAAUCUGGAAUUUCAGGCAGGAAUCCCAGGUUUUUUUGGUUGUUUUUUUUUACAGCAUGGAUGAAUUUAAAGAGGAGGAGUAAGUCAUCCAAACCCUGCCUCGGUCCUCCUGAAGUCAUUGCUAAGACUCGCACACCGUCGUGAGCUGCAGACCCCCGGCCUUAGAAUGUCCUGGUUGUUGGCCAUGUGGGUCAGCCUCAGCUUCCUGCUGCUGCUGUGCCAGGCCUCACUCUACCAGACCAUCCAGCAGCACCACGUGGCCCGUCCCGGUCGCACCGACAUCCUCACCCUGGAGGGAGGUACGUGUGAGGUGAUCGCGGCCCACAGAUGCUGUAACAAGAAUCGCAUCGAGGAACGCUCUCAGACCGUCAAGUGCUCCUGUUUACCAGGCAAAGUGGCUGGAACAACACGCAACAAACCUUCUUGUGUGGACGCAUCCAUCGUAAUUGGGAAAUGGUGGUGUGAGAUGGAGCCGUGUCUGGAAGGAGAAGAGUGCAAGACUCUGCCUGACAAUUCCGGAUGGAUGUGCUCAUCUGGAAAUAAAGUCAAGACCACGAGGAACACCCAGCCAUACUCCCCUUUUUAGCUUCCGGAAGCAAAAUGCAGAGGAAACGUCAACCGAAAUUGAGCUGCAUUCUUGCUUCUGUAAAAGAUUAAUCCGAGGACCUAACAGCGAGCUCUCAUCACAGGACCAGCCCCGUGCCAGCCCCUUCCUCUCAUCUACCCUUUCUCUUCUCGACAAACGGCGUGAAACUAUCACAUCCACGGCUGCCGACUGGAUUACCUGGGACCACAGAAAGGAUAUCCACCCCGAUAAAACAGCUUUGCCUGUGUGGCGCCAAGGAUUUAAAAACCCGCCACUAAUCCCCUGUUUGAUCAAGGAUGUGGGAUGUCGGUGAAGCUCCUCUUCCACGCAGCCGUGGCCAGAUUCCGUCCGAAAUCCCUCGCGCUCUGCCCCUCACUCGGUGUGUUCCUCAAAAACUGAUGCAGCUCGCCAGGGGGCUCAUUUUGAGGUUCUUUGGACAUUUGUCAAAAAAAGGAGGACCUGAACUUGGAACAAAGAGCAUAAAAGGCGAGACAUUGCCCUGAUAUCCUUGUAUUCCUGUACGGAUCGCUGCCUUUGUGUUAGAAGAUUACAAGAUGGCUUUGCAAGGACUACGUAGGUGUGAGAACAAAAUAAGCACCCUUGUGUGUGUGAGGCUUGAAGGACUGCUAUUACGGCCUCACCUUCGUGGUCAAUAAUGAACAUUGGAUUUGACUUCGAAGACAUGUACAAUGAGCAGUGCUACUUUUCUGUCUAUGUAAGAACACCCGCGUGUAUAUAAUUCUAUAAAUAAAAGACAAAAUAUUACGGCAGAUCCGCAAAGCAUAUUUAAGACUCUACUUACUAGGAGCUUAAAUCCACGGUGGAAUAUUGUUUUUGUUUUUUUCGCCCCCGUCCGAGUAAAAGUGCGAUUCGUACUUGUGCAGAGCCCUACUUUGACGUGUUAAAAGGACUGCUUUACUUGACAACUGUAAUCAUAGGUAUCUGUCACUUUGGUCGUUCAUGAAGUAUUGCUGGUAGAGCCACACGGUGCUUGUAAAAAGAUGAGGAAAAACAUUGUAUAGGACUGCCUCACAAAGCCUGCAAUGCUACUCAGAUGGCCCACCGUUGCUUAACAACCGCAAGAAAACCGGGCGUACGCACACCGAGGCCGUUCGUUGCUUUUCUACACUGCCGUAUAACCGCAAUUUCCCUGACUUUGUGGAUCACGCCGGUUUUAAUUUUUGUCGUUCUGAUUUGUUGCAGUUUGGAAUUCAUUUGCGAGAGGAGCGACUGUGUGAAAUAAAUGACCUGCCUUUGUUAGACGAACAGGUGUGUUAACUUGCAUUAUUUUGAGUAUGGGCCUGAUCUACAGCCGCUAAACAGCGUGUCCAAACAAUGAAAUUAGUGGUGAUCUACUAAGACUGUGUGUGCAAUUGAUAACAAG
Molecule: RNA transcript, 2313 nt
Organism: Entelurus aequoreus (snake pipefish)
Lineage: Eukaryota; Metazoa; Chordata; Actinopteri; Syngnathiformes; Syngnathidae
Gene name: chemokine-like protein TAFA-1
Exons: 6
Source: RefSeq, a predicted model, not a curated record